CAGUAGCCGCGGGAAUACGGAGGGUGCAAGCGUUAAUCGGAAUUACUGGGCGUAAAGGGCACGUAGGCGGUGAAAAGGGUGGAAAGUGAAAGUCGCCAAAACACUGGCGGGGUGCUUUCUUGACCAUUUCACUUGAGUGAGAUAGGGGAGAGUGGAAUUUCGUGUGGAGGGAUCAAAUCCUAAGAUAUACGAAGGAACGCCAACCGCGAAGGCAGCUCUCUGGGUCCCCACUGACGCUGGGGUGCGAAAGCAUGGGGAGCAAACAGGAUCAGAUACCCGGGUAGUCCCUGUCUCUUAUACA
Molecule: ribosomal RNA, 301 nt
Filed under: uncultured bacterium
Lineage: Bacteria
Description: partial 16S ribosomal RNA
Rfam family: Bacterial small subunit ribosomal RNA
Source: RNAcentral